UGGUUUCUCACUCAGAGGAAC
This 21-nucleotide non-coding RNA is filed under the name Caenorhabditis elegans. The record is from RNAcentral. Lineage: Eukaryota; Metazoa; Nematoda; Chromadorea; Rhabditida; Rhabditidae.